This is a long non-coding RNA of Monodelphis domestica (gray short-tailed opossum), 2839 nucleotides long. The record is from Ensembl. Lineage: Eukaryota; Metazoa; Chordata; Mammalia; Didelphimorphia; Didelphidae.
AUGAGUGGUCUACACAAGAGAUCUACAAGGCUGAAGAGGUGGGUCUUGUUUAGGAAAACUGAUCUGGAAGCGUCACGUGUGGUCAAAUUUACUGUGGCCAGUGAAGAGCUUGGAGGCCAUGUGGAGAGCGCCUGGCUGUGGAUGCUGCUGCUGUUUCGUGGAGGUCCUGAGUGGGGCCUGUCUGCUCUUGCUGGUGACUGUCCUUAUCACCCUCCUCAGAUACUUUCUAGAAUUUCCCGUCAUCAUGGAAGGAUUUGGCAUUCUCCAAAGUGCCAACAGCACCUCUGUCCCUGGGGAGUCGUGAGCCAAGGUGACUCCAGGCAGGUCUGGACUCAUCCACCAGCAGCCCCUGACAACUCCGGAGAAGACCCUCAGCUAAAGCCACAACCACAGUAGAGCCAGAUACCCUUGACAGAGGCCCCAGAGCAUUUGGCGAGCCAGCCUUUAGCAACUCUGAGCUCUCUAUCUGAUUCUCUAGGCCCUUGACCUCCGGCCAUUCCUAAGCGACUUAGAGAAAAAUACUGGGCUAGGAGUUUGAGGACCUGGCAUAGUGGCAAGGGUGCAGGCCCAGAUGCGACCCUUGACUUUGCUAUUCACCAUGUGACCUGGGUAAAAUCACUUCUUCUCCUUGAGCCUCAGUUUCCCACUCUGUCAAAUAAGGACCUUAGUUGGCCUCUAAGGUUCCUAUAAGCUCUGAUUUUCUGUUACCAGGUCCAUGGCAUGAGGGCUAGCCUAAGCAGGCCUGAGGGCCUUUCUGAGGGACCAGGCAGAUAGGCAACAAACGUUUAUUUUUGUAGGCAGACAAAAAUACUGGGGACUGUGCUAAGUGCUGGCUCUGGCUUUUAGGACUAAAGUUCUACCCAUCCUACCAACUCAGCUUGGAUUCUAAUGAUAAAAGGAACCCAGAGCCCUUAGACUAGGGCCAAUGAUGCCCUAGAGAUUCCAGGGACAAGGUAACUAUCAAGAGAAGGGUGGUGGUCAUUGGCCAAGAGUCUUGGCCUUGUGUUGGCUCCAGUGCCAAGUAGCCCCUUGUGCUUUCUAUUAGGGAACCCUAAUGUCCUCCUGGUCCUGAGGUUGGGGAAAUGAGGGAGAGGGGAAGCUGGGCUCCUCAGGGGACUGACAUGCCCAUGACCCGACUUCUUCCUUACAAGCCCUGGUCACGGCCUGGUAACCUCACCCCCAGCUCCAUGCCUCUAACACUAUCCAGGCCUGCUAAAUUCAUCGCUCAGGCUCAUCCUUCUCUCCUCCCAUCCGAAUCUCCCCUUCCCAAGUAGUCCUGCCUCUCUUCAAGGACUGUUAUGUAUUGGUGAUUCCUUGUCGAUCUGAAAUAGCAUAAGGGAAAGGGACUUGGGCCUUCUAGGGUGGAGGGAUCAGUCCUCUACUCCAAGGCCAGCCCUUCAAGCCAAAGGCCCACAAGCCCACUCAUGGAGCCUCUGGGGUGACGGGAAAAUGAAUCAAAAAGGCACAACUAAGAUGAUACACACAGAAAUAAGCGCAAAUCAAUGGCUUAUAUGUGUACUGAGGAGAAAUGAUUAAGAAGCCAGAGAGGGGAGGUGAGUGAGGGAAGGAGGAAGGUCCAAUGGUCACAGGCCCUAGCUGAUGCUAAAGCCAGAUUUUUGGGCCAUGGCCUCCCUCUCUUGGCCACUUAAUGUAGUGCAUCUUGGGAACUAGCCCAAACCCACAAAGAGCCAGCCAGGAGAGAAGGCCUCAGUGGUUCGGGUCACAGCUGUCUGGUGCAUUUCCUCAGCAUUCUCAGACUUCUUGGUAUUAACAGCAUGCUCUUUUAUUCUCAAUUAGACAGCUUGGAAGGGCUAUGAGCCACCCUGGAGGAUAUCUGGACUGCUUGAACAGAAGUUUUUCCUACCUUUAUCAACUAGGCUUGCUACAGGCAGUAAGCUUCCUUCUUGCCCACGUUCUCUCCCCAAACUAGGAUGGCUUGAGCAUUUAUGCCAAUGCACUUAGGGUUUAAACAAAGGGAGAAGGCUGCCAAACAGGGAAGAGGUGGGAUCGUUCUGUCCUCUUCCUUACAUUUCCUGUGAAUCUACUUUUCCAAAAAAUCAACAGAUCAAGGCGUCAGACACUCAGGAUUCUGGAGCAACAAGAAGGGGUACAGAGGGCUGGGAAGGGAGAGUGACAGGGAAGGCAUGUCAGUAAUGCAGUUAAGGUCAUUCAUACCUGAGUGUCUUUCGAAAACCCCCAUUGGCCAACAUGACGAAAGACAAAAAUGAUAAACAUGAGUAUCUGUGGGAGCCAGGCCCUCUCAUACAUUGUUGGUAGAGCUAUAUAAUUUGGGACGACUGCUUUGGAAAAUUUUGAAUUUUACUAGGCACAUGCUUCUAGGUCAUCAAAGUCAGAGGGAAAGGUCCCAUGCAAAUCUCUCUCUAUACAUAUCAAUAUGUAUUAUCAAAUAUAUGUAUGUGUGUAUGUAUCUAUCUACACAGAUAAUCUUCCCCCCUCAUUCAUUCAGUGAGCACUUUUGCACUGGUCAAGAAAUAGAUGUAGGAGCAGCCAGGUAGCUCAGUGGAUAGAGAGCUAGACCUAAAGUUGGGAGGUCCUAGGUUCAAAUCUGGCUUCAGACACUUCGUAGCUGUACGCCCCUGGGCAAGUCACUGAACUCAAUUGCCUAUUCCCUUGCCACUAUUCUAUCUUAGAACUGAUUCAAAGACAAAAGGGUUAAAAAAAGAAAAAAGGAGCUGCAAAGUGGGUAAAGCUGAUUAGCCAAAGGCAGACUAAAUUGUGGCAUAUUAUUGUGCUGGAAUAUUGAGUCAUAAUGAGGAACAUGAGGAAUUUGGGGAAGCUUGGGAAGACUUGUAUGAAUAAAGCUAAGUAAGCAGAACCA